Molecule: transfer RNA, 74 nt
Filed under: Leptospiraceae bacterium
Lineage: Bacteria; Pseudomonadati; Spirochaetota; Leptospiria; Leptospirales; Leptospiraceae
Description: tRNA-Met
Rfam family: tRNA
About the family: Transfer RNA (tRNA) molecules are approximately 80 nucleotides in length. Their secondary structure includes four short double-helical elements and three loops (D, anti-codon, and T loops).
Source: RNAcentral
GGCGACGUAGCUCAGUUGGUUAGAGCGAUGGAAUCAUAAUCCACAGGUCCGGGGUUCGAGUCCCUGCGUCGCUA